Chelonia mydas (Green sea turtle) is the source of this 552-nucleotide long non-coding RNA. RefSeq lists it as uncharacterized. The record is from RefSeq and is a predicted model, not a curated record. The transcript is spliced from 3 exons. Lineage: Eukaryota; Metazoa; Chordata; Testudines; Cheloniidae.
UAGAUGGGCCAUUGGUCUGACACAGUAUAGCCAUUCUUAUGUUCUUAUUUUAUCCACAGAGCAGCAAGGAAAUUCCUCAACCUGGAGGAAAGAACUUGACUUUGCUUCCAAGAGAAGGCAGGCCAGUCAGGCAAACCAUCCACGAUCUGCUGUCUGGCUUAGGUGGAGGACUGGCAUACCCUGAGAAAACUGGCUUCUACGGGACGAUCCAUGGUUAUGAUCAAAACAACAAAUGUGAUGGAUAUUUUCUAGGGUAUUGAAUUCUAAGACUAAUCACUGAAGGACCUAAGCACGGAUUAAAAGGCCUCCCAAGAUAGUGCUAUAGGUCUGUAUGGUGCAAAAAAAGGUAGAAGCAGGUCCCUGGAACCAGGAGCCGGACCAUGACUGAAUCACCCGUGGACCUUGGAACAAAGCCAGGAUGGAGCCCAAAGACUGCAAGUUCUCUGGGGCAAGGAGCAUGUCUUUACUUGCGUUGUCAGGUGCUUAGCACAUUAGUGGAUGCAUUAAACAUAACAAAAUCGGGAUAAUGCUUAUGACGUUGGAGAAAACAAC